UUGCCUCGGCGGGAUCUCUGCCCCGGGUGCGUCGCAGCCCCGGACCAAGGCGCCCGCCGGAGGACCAACCAAAACUCUUAUUGUAUACCCCCUCGCGGGUUUUUUUUAUAAUCUGAGCCUUCUCGGCGCCUCUCGUAGGCGUUUCGAAAAUGAAUCAAAACUUUCAACAACGGAUCUCUUGGUUCUGGCAUCGAUGAAGAACGCAGCGAAAUGCGAUAAGUAAUGUGAAUUGCAGAAUUCAGUGAAUCAUCGAAUCUUUGAACGCACAUUGCGCCCGCCAGUAUUCUGGCGGGCAUGCCUGUCCGAGCGUCAUUUCAACCCUCGAACCCCUCCGGGGGGUCGGCGUUGGGGAUCGGCCCUGCCUUGGCGGUGGCCGUCUCCGAAAUACAGUGGCGGUCUCGCCGCAGCCUCUCCUGCGCAGUAGUUUGCACACUCGCAUCGGGAGCGCGGCGCGUCCACAGCCGUUAAACACCCAACUUCUGAAAUGUUGACCUCGGAUCAGGUAGGAAUA
RNAcentral lists this ribosomal RNA (511 nucleotides) under Trichoderma harzianum. RNAcentral describes it as "eukaryotic LSU rRNA". The stretch from base 159 to 312 matches the Rfam family "5.8S ribosomal RNA". The record is from RNAcentral. Lineage: Eukaryota; Fungi; Ascomycota; Sordariomycetes; Hypocreales; Hypocreaceae.